RNAcentral lists this ribosomal RNA (441 nucleotides) under uncultured bacterium. RNAcentral describes it as "partial 16S ribosomal RNA". It matches the Rfam family "Bacterial small subunit ribosomal RNA", at positions 338 to 795 of the family's 1533-position model. The record is from RNAcentral.
CCUACGGGGUGCAGCAGUGGGGGAUAUUGCACAAUGGGGGGAACCCUGAUGCAGCGACGCCGCGUGGGUGAAGGAGUAUUUCGGUAUGUAAAGCCCUAUCGGCAGGGAAGAAAUUGGACGGUACCUGACUAAGAAGCCCCGGCUAACUACGUGCCAGCAGCCGCGGUAAUACGUAGGGGGCAAGCGUUAUCCGGAUUCACUGGGUGUAAAGGGAGCGUAGACGGCCAUGCAAGCCAGGGGUGAAAGCCCGGGGCCCAACCCCGGGACUGCCCUUGGAACUGCAUGGCUGGAGUGCGGGAGGGGCAGGCGGAAUUCCUGGUGUAGCGGUGAAAUGCGUAGAUAUCAGGAGGAACACCGGCGGCGAAGGCGGCCUGCUGGACCGCGACUGACGUUGAGGCUCGAAAGCGUGGGGAGCGAACAGGAUUAGAUACCCUAGUAGUC